UACAGAGGUCUCAAGCGUUGUUCGGAUUCAUUGGGCGUAAAGGGUGCGUAGGUGGCGGGGUAAGUCAGGUGUGAAAUCUCGGAGCUCAACUCCGAAACUGCACUUGAUACUGCCUUGCUCGAGUACUGGAGAGGAGAUUGGAAUUUACGGUGUAGCAGUGAAAUGCGUAGAUAUCAGGAGGAACACCGAUUGCGAAGGCAGCUCGCUGGGACGUAACUGACGCUGAGACGCGAAAGCGUGGGGAGCAAACAGG
RNAcentral lists this ribosomal RNA (253 nucleotides) under uncultured bacterium. Its description in RNAcentral is "partial 16S ribosomal RNA". It matches the Rfam family "Bacterial small subunit ribosomal RNA", at positions 524 to 776 of the family's 1533-position model. The record is from RNAcentral.